Molecule: long non-coding RNA, 316 nt
Organism: Eufriesea mexicana
Lineage: Eukaryota; Metazoa; Arthropoda; Insecta; Hymenoptera; Apidae
Exons: 3
Source: RefSeq, a predicted model, not a curated record
CGACGCUGUGGCGCGAUCGGUCGAACCGAGGUUUCAGCGCAGAGGUGGUACAGGAGAGCGUGAAAGGAACAGAGAAGUACCUUCGUAUACAGAAAUGAGGCCCGGGGUAAGAGUCCGUGAGAUGAUUCCUUAAUUGGUUCCUACCCCAUGGCAUAAGAAUACAUUGUAUCCGGCUAUAAGACUAUGUCAGGAAACUCCAAGAUGUCUCUGCGAGCAUCAUUUAUUUGUCGACGUUGUCUUCAUUUUCAUGUGCGUCCCGAUUUUUCAAUACUCAUUUCUAAGUACGUUCAAUUUACUUAGAGAGUAAUUUGAAAUA